CUAAUGUUAUUUAUUUUAACUAACUCCUUAAAUUAUCUUAGAUAAUCACUUAAUAAAUAAAUUUACUGAAGUUCUUUCAAUUACAAUUGGUAUAAAUCUGUGGUUUGCUCCACAGAUUUCUGAGCAUUGUCCAAAGAAUAAUCCAGGUCGAUUAAAUCAAGGAACAUUCACAAUAAAUCGACCUGGAUUAUUCUUUGGACAAUGCUCAGAAAUCUGUGGAGCAAACCACAGAUUUAUAACAAUUGUAAUUGAAAGAACUUCAGUAAAUUUAUUUAUUAAGUGAUUAUCUAAGAUAAUUUAA
Molecule: long non-coding RNA, 301 nt
Organism: Schistocerca gregaria
Lineage: Eukaryota; Metazoa; Arthropoda; Insecta; Orthoptera; Acrididae
Exons: 2
Source: RefSeq, a predicted model, not a curated record